ACAGUAAAUCGGUUUGUCGCUCCAAUUAUGGAUUGGGGAGGAAAGUCCGGGCAACACAGAGCACCAUAUUUCCUAACGGGAAGCUGUCAGCGAUGGCAGAGCAACGUAACAGAAAAUAACCGUCCGCCAUCCGGCGGAUAAGGGUGAAAAGGUAAGGUAAGAGCUUACCGGAGUGUGUGGCGACACAUGCUGCCGUACGUCUUAUGGGUUGCAAGAUCAUGUAAACCAACGCUAUCAGGCUUGCUCGGUCGAUGUUGGAGGGUAGAUUGCUCAGAUUUCGUCAGCAAUGCCGAAACCAGAUAAAUGACAAACUUCAUCAUUUGAUGAAAACAGAACCCGGCUUAUAGGUUUACUGUAUUU
RNAcentral lists this RNase P RNA (360 nucleotides) under Bacteroidales bacterium. RNAcentral's name for it is "RNase P RNA component class A". It matches the Rfam family "Bacterial RNase P class A". From Rfam's summary of the family: Ribonuclease P (RNase P) is a ubiquitous endoribonuclease, found in archaea, bacteria and eukarya as well as chloroplasts and mitochondria. Its best characterised activity is the generation of mature 5'-ends of tRNAs by cleaving the 5'-leader elements of precursor-tRNAs. The record is from RNAcentral. Lineage: Bacteria; Pseudomonadati; Bacteroidota; Bacteroidia; Bacteroidales.